RNAcentral lists this transfer RNA (72 nucleotides) under Chelydra serpentina (North American snapping turtle). RNAcentral describes it as "tRNA-Glu". It matches the Rfam family "tRNA". From Rfam's summary of the family: Transfer RNA (tRNA) molecules are approximately 80 nucleotides in length. The record is from RNAcentral. Lineage: Eukaryota; Metazoa; Chordata; Testudines; Chelydridae.
UCCCAUGUGGUCUAGUGGUCAAGAUUCCUGGUUUUCACCUAGGUGGCCUGGGUUCGAUUCCCAGUGUGGGAG